This 262-nucleotide long non-coding RNA is filed under the name Gossypium barbadense (sea-island cotton). RNAcentral's name for it is "long non-coding RNA (GBAR_LNC007199)". Lineage: Eukaryota; Viridiplantae; Streptophyta; Magnoliopsida; Malvales; Malvaceae. The record is from RNAcentral.
UGAGAAGUUUUGAGAUUAAGUUAAAAGUGUAUUUGUGUAGUUUGGAACUAGAGUGCGCAGCGGGAGCAUAGUGGUGUAGAUUGAGCUAAGCGCUUGUUCUGAUAGUUGGAAAUUUCAAGGACAAAAUUUCUUUAAGUGGGUAGAAUUGUAACGCCCCAAAUUUGGGACUAGAAGUGUUAGGCCUUUAGUAUGGGUCCGUUAAGAGGUUGUAUAUAAGCAUUUAAUUGUACAAGUAAAUGACACAAUUAAAUGUCUGCUUUAG